This 253-nucleotide unclassified non-coding RNA is filed under the name uncultured Moraxellaceae bacterium. RNAcentral's name for it is "contains 16S-23S intergenic spacer region". It matches the Rfam family "Bacterial small subunit ribosomal RNA", at positions 524 to 776 of the family's 1533-position model. Lineage: Bacteria; Pseudomonadati; Pseudomonadota; Gammaproteobacteria; Moraxellales; Moraxellaceae. The record is from RNAcentral.
UACAGGGGGUGCGAGCGUUAAUCGGAUUUACUGGGCGUAAAGCAUGCGUAGGCGGCUUUUUAAGUCGGCUGUGCAAUCCCCGAGCUUAACUUGGGAAUUGCAUUCAAUACUGGGAAGCUAGAGUAUGGGAGAGGAUGGUAGAAUUCCAGUUGUAGCGGUGAAAUGCGUAGAGAUCUGGAGGAAUACCGAUGGCGAAGGCAGCCAUCUGGCCUAAUACUUACGCUGAGUUACGAAAGCAUGGGGAGCAAACAGG